Molecule: ribosomal RNA, 253 nt
Filed under: uncultured bacterium
Lineage: Bacteria
Description: partial 16S ribosomal RNA
Rfam family: Bacterial small subunit ribosomal RNA
Source: RNAcentral
UACGGAGGGAGCUAGCGUUGUUCGGAAUUACUGGGCGUAAAGCGCACGUAGGCGGAUUGUUAAGUCGGGGGUGAAAUCCUGGAGCUCAACUCCAGAACUGCCUUCGAUACUGGCGAUCUCGAGUUCGGGAGAGGUGAGUGGAACUGCGAGUGUAGAGGUGAAAUUCGUAGAUAUUCGCAAGAACACCAGUGGCGAAGGCGGCUCACUGGCCCGAUACUGACGCUGAGGUGCGAAAGCGUGGGGAGCAAACAGG